AAGUCGUAACAAGGUUUCCGUAGGUGAACCUGCGGAAGGAUCAUUAACAAAUCUGACGGUCACUGGGUGCCUCGCGGUUAUCUAGUGGCCACAUUGACUCGGGCGCUACUCCGACUUUACGGUUGGUGAAGAUUGCCCUGAGACAUACACGCUUGUUUUGUUUGACUGAGUUAUGGUGAAUAUUAAAUAAUGACAACUUUUAACAAUGGAUCUCUUGGCUCUU
This 223-nucleotide unclassified non-coding RNA is filed under the name fungal sp. Its description in RNAcentral is "partial internal transcribed spacer region". The stretch from base 1 to 46 matches the Rfam family "Eukaryotic small subunit ribosomal RNA", at positions 1786 to 1831 of the family's 1831-position model. Lineage: Eukaryota; Fungi. The record is from RNAcentral.